AUACGUAGGUGGCAAGCGUUAUCCGGAAUUAUUGGGCGUAAAGAGUGAGCAGGCGGUUAAUUAAGUCUGAGGUUAAAGCGUGGGGCUCAACCCCAUAAAGCCUUGGAAACUGAUUGACUAGAGUACGGGAGAAGUGAAGGGAACUCCAUGUGUAGCGGUGAAAUGCGUAGAUAUAUGGAAGAACACCAGUGGCGAAGGCGCUUCACUAGCCCGAAACUGACGCUCAGUCACGAAAGCAUGGGUAGCAAAUAGGAUUAGAUUCCCUAGUAGUCGACGCUGUAAACGAUGACAACUAAAUAUUGCCGCGAGGCAGUGUUGAAGCUAACGCAUUAAGUUGUCCGCCUGGGGAGUACGGUCGCAAGACUGAAACUUACAUGAAUUUGCGGGG
Molecule: ribosomal RNA, 388 nt
Filed under: uncultured bacterium
Lineage: Bacteria
Description: partial 16S ribosomal RNA
Rfam family: Bacterial small subunit ribosomal RNA
Source: RNAcentral